GCCGGGGUGGCAGAGCGGUUAAUGCGCAGGCCUGGAGAGCCUGUGGCCCUCACCGGGCCGCGAGGGUUCGAAUCCCUCCCCCGGCG
This 86-nucleotide transfer RNA is filed under the name Nitrososphaerota archaeon. RNAcentral's name for it is "tRNA-Ser". It matches the Rfam family "tRNA". From Rfam's summary of the family: Transfer RNA (tRNA) molecules are approximately 80 nucleotides in length. Their secondary structure includes four short double-helical elements and three loops (D, anti-codon, and T loops). RNAcentral also lists the same sequence under 1 other name. Lineage: Archaea; Thermoproteati; Nitrososphaerota. The record is from RNAcentral.